RNAcentral lists this ribosomal RNA (460 nucleotides) under uncultured bacterium. Its description in RNAcentral is "partial 16S ribosomal RNA". It matches the Rfam family "Bacterial small subunit ribosomal RNA", at positions 338 to 795 of the family's 1533-position model. The record is from RNAcentral.
CCUACGGGAGGCAGCAGUGAGGAAUAUUGGUCAAUGGACGAGAGUCUGAACCAGCCAAGUAGCGUGAAGGAUGACUGCCCGAUGGGUUGUAAACUUCUUUUAUAUGGGAAUAAAAUGUUCCACGUGUGGGAUUUUGUAUGUACCAUAUGAAUAAGGAUCGGCUAACUCCGUGCCAGCAGCCGCGGUAAUACGGAGGAUCCGAGCGUUAUCCGGAUUUAUUGGGUUUAAAGGGAGCGUAGGUGGAUUGUUAAGUCAGUUGUGAAAGUUUGCGGCUCAACCGUAAAAUUGCAGUUGAAACUGGCAGUCUUGAGUACAGUAGAGGUGGGCGGAAUUCGUGGUGUAGCGGUGAAAUGCUUAGAUAUCACGAAGAACUCCGAUUGCGAAGGCAGUUCACUGGACUGCAACUGACACUGAGGCUCGAAAGUGUGGGUAUCAAACAGGAUUAGAUACCCGAGUAGUC